CCUACGGGGGCUGCAGUGGGGAAUAUUGGACAAUGGGCGAAAGCCUGAUCCAGCCAUGCCGCGUGUGUGAAGAAGGCCUUCGGGUUGUAAAGCACUUUCAGUGGGGAAGAAAGCCUUGGGGCUAAUACCCUCGAGGAAGGACAUCACCCACAGAAGAAGCACCGGCUAACUCCGUGCCAGCAGCCGCGGUAAUACGGAGGGUGCGAGCGUUAAUCGGAAUUACUGGGCGUAAAGCGCGCGUAGGCGGUCUGAUAAGCCGGUUGUGAAAGCCCCGGGCUCAGCCUGGGAACGGCAUCCGGAACUGUCAGGCUAGAGUGCAGGAGAGGAAGGUAGAAUUCCCGGUGUAGCGGUGAAAUGCGUAGAGAUCGGGAGGAAUACCAGUGGCGAAGGCGGCCUUCUGGACUGACACUGACGCUGAGGUGCGAAAGCGUGGGUAGCAAACAGGAUUAGAUACCCCGGUAGUC
This 464-nucleotide ribosomal RNA is filed under the name Vreelandella stevensii. Its description in RNAcentral is "partial 16S ribosomal RNA". It matches the Rfam family "Bacterial small subunit ribosomal RNA", at positions 338 to 795 of the family's 1533-position model. The record is from RNAcentral. Lineage: Bacteria; Pseudomonadati; Pseudomonadota; Gammaproteobacteria; Oceanospirillales; Halomonadaceae.